RNAcentral lists this ribosomal RNA (253 nucleotides) under uncultured bacterium. Its description in RNAcentral is "partial 16S ribosomal RNA". It matches the Rfam family "Bacterial small subunit ribosomal RNA", at positions 524 to 776 of the family's 1533-position model. The record is from RNAcentral.
UACGUAGGGGGCAAGCGUUAAUCGGAAUUACUGGGCGUAAAGCGUGCGCAGGCGGUUGUGCAAGACAGAUGUGAAAUCCCCGGGCUCAACCUGGGAACUGCAUUUGUGACUGCACGGCUGGAGUGCGGCAGAGGGGGAUGGAAUUCCGCGUGUAGCAGUGAAAUGCGUAGAUAUGCGGAGGAACACCGAUGGCGAAGGCAAUCCCCUGGGCCUGCACUGACGCUCAUGCACGAAAGCGUGGGGAGCAAACAGG